Molecule: long non-coding RNA, 327 nt
Organism: Patella vulgata (common limpet)
Lineage: Eukaryota; Metazoa; Mollusca; Gastropoda; Patellidae
Exons: 3
Source: RefSeq, a predicted model, not a curated record
GUGUUUAUUGUUGAUAACCGUGGCUGUAGUUUUUCUGGCUCAAAAUGCCGAAGCUAGCUUCGAUGACGGUGAACUGUCACGUGAAGAAGUUGCAGAAUUGCUUGACAUUGACAGUGAAGAAGAUCUAGAUGAAUUCUUUGCUGAAUUUGAUACUAAUGGUGAUGGCGUUAUUGAUAUAGAAGAAUCUGAAGCAGUCGAAUUAUUCCUGGAAUAUUUAGAAUCAAAUGAUUCAGAAUAGAAUACAAUUCAACUCAGAAACCAUUAUAGUAUAUCGAUGAUCAUUAAUUUGAUACAGCUUUUCAUUUUAAUAAACAUAAUUCAUUGAAA